CCCCUAUUUCUGCCUCCAAAAACCUGCCUUGGAGGAGCGUCCGCGGAGGGAUUAGGGAUUUAGUGGGGAAGGUAAGUGUGACUACAAGCUUUGGCUCGCCAUCUGCUCCCCAGCAGAGUUGAGGCCAACCUGUGCAGCCUGCAGCAAAGACCUGGGCACCGUGCUAACUGCGGCCUGAGCCAACCUGGCGCCCGCGGCCCCAAUCACCAACAGUCUGCUGAUUAGUUGUAAGGAGCGCUCCAUAUGCAGCAAAGUUCUCUUUUCCCCGUCUCCUUCCCUUCCGUCCUCUCCUCCUUAUUUAUUCCCUCGCCGCAUUAAAUAAAUAUGGAUGUAUGGAACCUCUUUUAGCAAAUGGCGGAUGGCCUUGGGUUGUCUGGCAGGGAGACGCGGAGCCUGUUCUUCUUUCUCCCUCUCACCUCUGACAGAAUACCAAGCCAGGCAAGAAGAAAGAAAAAAAGAUGAAGAAGAAGAAGAAGAAAUCCUGGCUGUCCUCCUCUCCUCCUUCCCUCCCUUGCUCUCUUCUGCCUGGCAGCGCCGGGAGACAGAUGACAAGGGCUCGUGGCCGCCUGAUCACCCCUGGGCUCUCCUCCAGAUGUUGGACGGUGCUCCGGUUCCUCCCAGCUGUGUCCGGCUGUCAAAUAGAUCUUUUUUUCUGCACAAAAAACAGGCAGCAAAGAAAAUGAAUUUUCUGCAAAUAACAAACAGAACUGGUACCAAGACUUAAAAACAAUAAAAUAAUUCUCCUUGGUGGAAUCAUAUUUUGUAUUAUUCCCCUUUUUAGGGGACGUUUCUUUUAGCGUUUACAGCGUGAAUAAAGUCAUCGACCAGAACGCCCAGUGCAGGAGAUUAUUCAUUUAUUAUUGUUAUUAUUCCAAAAACACUGAUGCAAAAUUGUAAAGUUUAUUACUCUUUUUAACCUUGACGAAGUCAGCGUAUACCAACUUAAAUUCAUGUCUUUUCACAAUAAAAGGCCUGGACAGCAGCCGAGUAUUUC
Long non-coding RNA from Gasterosteus aculeatus aculeatus (three-spined stickleback), 994 nucleotides. The record is from Ensembl. NCBI's taxonomy places the organism in Eukaryota, Metazoa, Chordata, Actinopteri, Perciformes, Gasterosteidae.